RNAcentral lists this ribosomal RNA (492 nucleotides) under uncultured bacterium. RNAcentral's name for it is "partial 16S ribosomal RNA". It matches the Rfam family "Bacterial small subunit ribosomal RNA", at positions 29 to 507 of the family's 1533-position model. The record is from RNAcentral.
AGUGAACGCUGGCGGUAGGCCUAACACAUGCAAGUCGAACGGCAGCACAGUAAGAGCUUGCUCUUACGGGUGGCGAGUGGCGGACGGGUGAGGAAUACAUCCGAAUCUACUUUUUCGUGGGGGAUAACGUAGGGAAACUUACGCUAAUACCGCAUACGCCCUACGGGUGAAAGCAGGGGAUCUUCGGACCUUGCGCGAUUGAAUGAGCCGAUGUCGGAUUAGCUGGUUGGCGGGGUAAAGGCCCACCAAGGCGACGAUCCGUAGCUGGUCUGAGAGGAUGAUAGGCGACACUGGAACUGGGACACGGACCAGACGCCUGCGAGAGGCAGCAGUGGGGAAUAUUGGACAGUAGGCGCAAGCCUGAUCCAGCCAGACCGCGUGGGUGAAGAAGGCCUUCGGGUUGUAAAGCCCUUUUGUUGGGAAAGAAAAGCAGCAGGUUAAUACCCCGCUGUUCUGACGGUACCCAAAGAAUAAGCACCGGCUAACUUCGUG